UACGUAGGGUGCGAGCGUUAAUCGGAAUUACUGGGCGUAAAGCGUGCGCAGGCGGUUAUUUAAGUCAGGUGUGAAAGCCCUGGGCUUAACCUAGGAAUUGCGCUUGAGACUGGAUAGCUUGGAGUGCGGCAGAGGGAGGUGGAAUUCCACGUGUAGCAGUGAAAUGCGUAGAGAUGUGGAGGAACACCGAUGGCGAAGGCAGCCUCCUGGGCCAGCACUGACGCUGAGGAGCGAAAGCGUGGGGAGCAAACAGG
RNAcentral lists this ribosomal RNA (254 nucleotides) under uncultured bacterium. RNAcentral describes it as "partial 16S ribosomal RNA". It matches the Rfam family "Bacterial small subunit ribosomal RNA", at positions 524 to 776 of the family's 1533-position model. The record is from RNAcentral.